CCUACGGGUGGCUGCAGUGGGGAAUAUUGCACAAUGGGGGUAACCCUGAUGCAGCAACGCCGCGUGAGUGAUGAAGUUUCUAUGUAUGGUAAGCUCUAUCAGCAAGGAAGUAGAGUGACGGUACCUGACUAAGAAGCCCCUGCUAACUACAUGCCAGCAGCCGCGGUAAUACGUAGGGGGCAAGCGUUAACCGGAUUUAUUGGGGUUAAAGGGCGUGUAGGCGGGUAAGUAAGUCAGAUGUGAACACUUAGGGCUCAACCCUAAGCCUGCAUUUGAAACUGGUAUGCUUGAGUGCGGGAGAGGCAAUCGGAAUUCGGGGUGUAGCGGUGAAAUGCUUAGAUAUAAGGAGGAACACCAGUGGCGAAGGCGGAGUGCUGGACAGUAACUGACGCUGAGGCGCGAAAGCGUGGGGAGCAAACAGGAUUAGAUACCCUUGUAGUC
Molecule: ribosomal RNA, 441 nt
Filed under: uncultured bacterium
Lineage: Bacteria
Description: partial 16S ribosomal RNA
Rfam family: Bacterial small subunit ribosomal RNA
Source: RNAcentral